RNAcentral lists this ribosomal RNA (253 nucleotides) under uncultured bacterium. Its description in RNAcentral is "partial 16S ribosomal RNA". It matches the Rfam family "Bacterial small subunit ribosomal RNA", at positions 524 to 776 of the family's 1533-position model. The record is from RNAcentral.
UACGUAGGGUGCGAGCGUUGUCCGGAAUUAUUGGGCGUAAAGAGCUUGUAGGCGGUUUGUCGCGUCUGCUGUGAAAACCCGGAGCUCAACUCCGGGCCUGCAGUCGAUACGGGCGGACUUGAGUGUUGCAGGGGAGACUGGAAUUCCUGGUGUAGCGGUGAAAUGCGCAGAUAUCAGGAGGAACACCGGUGGCGAAGGCGGGUCUCUGGGCAACUACUGACGCUGAGGAGCGAAAGCGUGGGGAGCGAACAGG